GAUGAACGCUGGCGGCGUGCCUAAUACAUGCAAGUCGAGCGAACGGACGCGAAGUUUGCUUCUCUGAUGUUAGCGGCGCACGGGUGAGUAACAUGUGGAUAACCUACCUAUAAGACUGGGAUAACUUCGGGAAACCGUAGCUAAUCCCAGAUAAUCUUUUGAACCGCAUGGUUCAAAAGUGAAAGUCGGUCUUGCUGUCACUUAUAGAUGGAUCCGCGCUGCAUUAGCUAGUUGGUAAGGUAACGGCUUACCACGGCAACGAUGCAUAGCCGACCUGAGAGGGGGAUCGGCCACACGAGAAGGUGAACGCCGUCCAUACUCCUACGGGAGGCAGCAGAAGGGAAUCGUCCGCAGUGGUCGGAAACCUGGCAGAACAACGCCGCGUGAGUUAUAAAGGUCUUCGGAGCGUAAAACUCUGUUAUUAGGGGAGAACAGAUUUGUAAGUAGCUGAGCACAUCUUGACGGUACCUAAUCAGAAAGCCACGGCUAACUACGUG
Molecule: ribosomal RNA, 497 nt
Filed under: uncultured bacterium
Lineage: Bacteria
Description: partial 16S ribosomal RNA
Rfam family: Bacterial small subunit ribosomal RNA
Source: RNAcentral